RNAcentral lists this ribosomal RNA (848 nucleotides) under uncultured prokaryote. RNAcentral's name for it is "bacterial SSU rRNA". It matches the Rfam family "Archaeal small subunit ribosomal RNA", at positions 508 to 1355 of the family's 1478-position model. The record is from RNAcentral.
GCCUAAAGGGGCCGUAGCUUGAUAAUAGGGUCCCUUGAGAAAUCCGCCGGCUUAACUGGCGGGCGUUCAGGGGAAACUUGUUUUCUAGGGACCGGGAGAGGUGAGGGGUACUGUCGGGGUAGGAGUGAAAUCCUGUAAUCCCGGUGGGACCACCUAUGGCGAAGGCAUCUCACCAGAACGGGUCCGACAGUGAGGGACGAAAGCUGGGGGAGCAAACCGGAUUAGAUACCCGGGUAGUCCCAGCUGUAAACUAUGUGCGUUAGGUGUGUCAGUGACCACGUGUCACUGAGGUGCCGAAGGGAAACCGUGAAACGCACCGCCUGGGGAGUACGGUCGCAAGGCUGAAACUUAAAGGAAUUGGCGGGGGAGCACCACAACGGGUGGAGCCUGCGGUUUAAUCGGACUCAACGCCGGGAAUCUCACCGGAUAAGACAGCUGAAUGAUAGUCGGGAUGAAGACUCUACUUGACUAGCUGAGAGGAGGUGCAUGGCCGUCGUCAGUUCGUACUGUGAAGCAUCCUGUUUAGUCAGGCAACGAGCGAGACCCACGCGAGCAGUUGCCAGCUUGACCUUCGGGUUGAUGGGGACACUGCUCGGACCGCCUCUGCUAAAGGGGAGGAAGGACUGGGCAACGGUAGGUCAGCAUGCCCCGAAUUAUCCGGGCUACACGCGGGCUACAAUGGACAGGACAAUGAGUUUCGACACCGAGAGGUGAGGAUAAUCUUCUAACCCUGUCCCAAGUUCGGAUUGCGGGUUGUAACUCACCCGCAUGAAGCUGGAAUCCGUAGUAAUCGCGUUUCAACAUACCGCGGUGAAUAUGUCCCUGCUCCUUGCACACACCGCCCGUAA